Molecule: long non-coding RNA, 360 nt
Organism: Penaeus monodon (black tiger shrimp)
Lineage: Eukaryota; Metazoa; Arthropoda; Malacostraca; Decapoda; Penaeidae
Exons: 3
Source: RefSeq, a predicted model, not a curated record
GCGGAAACGGAGGUGGAGGUGGAGACGGCGGAAACGGAGGUGGCGGUGGAGACGGCGGUAAUGGAGGAAUGGUGGAAGCAUCGACGGCUGCGUCAUUGAUUGCUCCCUCGGAAAGUAUCUGCCACAUCCAAGUGACUGCCGCAAGUUCAUCCAGUGUGCCCCGUAUGGUCCUGAAGAGAUGCCUUGUGCUCCUGGAACGGUCUGGAACCAACAGAAACUCACCUGUGAUCACGAAUGGGCUUCUCCGUGUGUGACAGGCAGCUACUUGACUCCAGAAGGUCUGCCAUGUGGAGGAGGUAGUGGUGGAAAUGGAGGUGGAGGUGGAGACGGCGGAAACGGAGGUGGAGACGGCGGAACGGA